GUGUCAGCCGCCGCGGUAAUACGUAGGUGGCAAGCGUUGUCCGGAUUUACUGGGCGUAAAGGAUGUGUAGGCGGAUUUUUAAGUGAGAUGUGAAAUCCCCGGGCUUAACUUGGGGGCUGCAUUUGAAACUGGAUGUCUAGAGUGCAGGAGAGGAAAGCAGAAUUCCUAGUGUAGCGGUGAAAUGCGUAGAGAUUUGGAGGAAAACCAGUGGCGAAGGCGGCUUUCUGGUCUGUAACUGACUCUGAGGCGUGAAAGCGUGGGGAGCAAAAAGGUUUAGAUACCCUGGUAGUCCACGCCGUAAACGAUGAGUACUAAGUGUUGGAG
RNAcentral lists this ribosomal RNA (324 nucleotides) under uncultured bacterium. RNAcentral's name for it is "bacterial SSU rRNA". It matches the Rfam family "Bacterial small subunit ribosomal RNA", at positions 505 to 828 of the family's 1533-position model. The record is from RNAcentral.